This 586-nucleotide ribosomal RNA is filed under the name Micrococcus sp. SCULCB HNA-33. Its description in RNAcentral is "bacterial SSU rRNA". It matches the Rfam family "Bacterial small subunit ribosomal RNA", at positions 82 to 682 of the family's 1533-position model. Lineage: Bacteria; Bacillati; Actinomycetota; Actinomycetes; Micrococcales; Micrococcaceae. The record is from RNAcentral.
GCUGGGUGGAUUAGUGGCGAACGGGUGAGUAACACGUGAGUAACCUGCCCUUGACUCUGGGAUAAGCCUGGGAAACUGGGUCUAAUACUGGAUAUGACUUCUCACCGCAUGGUGGGGGGUGGAAAGAUUUAUUGGUCUUGGAUGGACUCGCGGCCUAUCAGCUUGUUGGUGAGGUAAUGGCUCACCAAGGCGACGACGGGUAGCCGGCCUGAGAGGGUGACCGGCCACACUGGGACUGAGACACGGCCCAGACUCCUACGGGAGGCAGCAGUGGGGAAUAUUGCACAAUGGGCGCAAGCCUGAUGCAGCGACGCCGCGUGAGGGAUGACGGCCUUCGGGUUGUAAACCUCUUUCAGUAGGGAAGAAGCGAAAGUGACGGUACCUGCAGAAGAAGCGCCGGCUAACUACGUGCCAGCAGCCGCGGUAAUACGUAGGGCGCGAGCGUUAUCCGGAAUUAUUGGGCGUAAAGAGCUCGUAGGCGGUUUGUCGCGUCUGCCGUGAAAGUCCGGGGCUUAACCCCGGAUCUGCGGUGGGUACGGGCAGACUAGAGUGCAGUAGGGGAGACUGGAAUUCCUGGUGUAGCGUG